UGGGGAAUCUUGCACAAUGGGGGAAACCCUGAUGCAGCGACGCCGCGUGAGCGAUGAAGGCUUUCGAGUCGUAAAGCUCUGUCCUAUGGGAAGAUAAUGACGGUACCAUAGAAGAAAGCCCCGGCUAAUUACGUGCCAGCAGCCGCGGUAAUACGUAAGGGGCGAGCGUUGUCCGGAAUUAUUGGGCGUAAAGAGUGCGUAGGCGGCAAAUUAAGUCAGAUGUGAAAACUAAGGGCUCAACCCAUAGAUUGCAUCUGAAACUGAUAUGCUUGAGUCAAGGAGAGGAAAGUGGAAUUCCUAGUGUAGCGGUGGAAUGCGUAGAUAUUAGGAGGAAUACCAGUAGCGAAGGCGACUUUCUGGACACAAACUGACGCUGAGGUACGAAAGCGUGGGGAGCAAACAGG
Molecule: ribosomal RNA, 404 nt
Filed under: Bacteroidota bacterium
Lineage: Bacteria; Pseudomonadati; Bacteroidota
Description: Bacteroidetes bacterium partial 16S ribosomal RNA
Rfam family: Bacterial small subunit ribosomal RNA
Source: RNAcentral